RNAcentral lists this ribosomal RNA (468 nucleotides) under uncultured bacterium. RNAcentral's name for it is "partial 16S ribosomal RNA". It matches the Rfam family "Bacterial small subunit ribosomal RNA", at positions 28 to 507 of the family's 1533-position model. The record is from RNAcentral.
GACGAACGCUGGCGGCGUGCUUAACACAUGCAAGUCGAACGGAAAGGCCCUGCUUUUGUGGGGUGCUCGAGUGGCGAACGGGUGAGUAACACGUGAGUAACCUGCCCUUGACUUUGGGAUAACUUCAGGAAACUGGGGCUAAUACCGGAUAGGAGCUCCUGCUGCAUGGUGGGGGUUGGAAAGUUUCGGCGGUUGGGGAUGGACUCGCGGCUUAUCAGCUUGUUGGUGGGGUAGUGGCUUACCAAGGCUUUGACGGGUAGCCGGCCUGCGAGGGUGACCGGCCACAUGGGGACUGAGAUACGGCCCAGACUACUACGGGAGGCAGCAGUGGGGAAUAUUGCACAAUGGGCGGAAGCCUGAUGCAGCAACGCCGCGUGCGGGAUGACGGCCUUCGGGUUGUAAACCGCUUUCGACUGUGACGAAGCGUGAGUGACGGUAAUGGGUAAAGAAGCACCGGCUAACUACGUG